This 253-nucleotide ribosomal RNA is filed under the name uncultured bacterium. RNAcentral's name for it is "partial 16S ribosomal RNA". It matches the Rfam family "Bacterial small subunit ribosomal RNA", at positions 524 to 776 of the family's 1533-position model. The record is from RNAcentral.
UACGGGGGGGGGAAGCGUUGUUCGGAAUUACUGGGCGUAAAGCGCACGUAGGCGGACUAUUAAGUCAGGGGUGAAAUCCCGGGGCUCAACCCCGGAACUGCCUUUGAUACUGGUAGUCUCGAGUCCGGAAGAGGUGAGUGGAAUUCCGAGUGUAGAGGUGAAAUUCGUAGAUAUUCGGAGGAACACCAGUGGCGAAGGCGGCUCACUGGUCCGGUACUGACGCUGAGGUGCGAAAGCGUGGGGAGCAAACAGG